RNAcentral lists this ribosomal RNA (54 nucleotides) under Pseudo-nitzschia brasiliana. RNAcentral describes it as "partial large subunit ribosomal RNA". Lineage: Eukaryota; Bacillariophyta; Bacillariophyceae; Bacillariales; Bacillariaceae. The record is from RNAcentral.
AAGCAAGAGGACCCGCCGAAUUUAAGCAUAUAAUUAAGCGGAGGAAAAGAAACU